CCAUUUCAAAAGAGGAAUUUCCAAAUCCCUCUUUUGACCACCUUUUCUUCCUCUCCGUUCUUGCUUUUGAACACUCUCUUCAUCUUCCGAGCAUCCUUCUGCCUUGCGGUGAAGUGAUGAUUCAGACCGUUCAUCCAGAAGCUCGUAUCCAGAAGCUAUGAAUCUUUCGAGCGCCCUUCUUUCGAAUGCACAUUCUCAAUAAUUAGAGAUCAUCAUAUUUCAUGCUAAGAAACUGUGUUUGGCAUUGGCUUCCAAAUGGGCAAUGGAAGAUGGGAAGGAUACAAUCAAUUUUAGGGGUGGAUACAGUUAUUUCACUUUCAUAUGGGGAAGAGGUGACAGUAUCCAAUGAAAAGCUAUUACCUGCAAAUCCAGAUAUCCUUGAGGGUGUCGAUGAUCUUAUUAAGCUUAGUUACCUGAAUUAGCCCUCAGUUCUCUACAACCUUUAGUACAGAUAUUGUCCUGAAAAGAUUUAUGUGAGCAUCAUUCUUGAUUUUUUUUCCUGCUUAGUGUGAUGUUGGUUCCACCUCCAUUGCCUUUAUUGACUUCCUUUCCCAUUUAUCUUUCUGUAGAGUAUAGCAAGGCUUGUUUUGGUUGCAAUCAAUCCCUUUAAAGAGG
This is a long non-coding RNA of Magnolia sinica, 615 nucleotides long. RefSeq lists it as uncharacterized. NCBI's taxonomy places the organism in Eukaryota, Viridiplantae, Streptophyta, Magnoliopsida, Magnoliales, Magnoliaceae. The transcript has 3 exons. The record is from RefSeq and is a predicted model, not a curated record.